This 253-nucleotide ribosomal RNA is filed under the name uncultured bacterium. Its description in RNAcentral is "partial 16S ribosomal RNA". It matches the Rfam family "Archaeal small subunit ribosomal RNA", at positions 474 to 727 of the family's 1478-position model. The record is from RNAcentral.
UACCAGCACCCCGAGUGGUCGGGACGAUUAUUGGGCCUAAAGCAUCCGUAGCCGGUUCUACAAGUCUUCCGUUAAAUCCACCUGCUCAACAGAUGGGCUGCGGAGGAUACUAUAGAGCUAGGAGGCGGGAGAGGCAAGCGGUACUUAGUGGGUAGGGGUAAAAUCCGUUGAUCCAUUGAAGACCACCAGUGGCGAAGGCGGCUUGCCAGAAUGCGCUCGACGGUGAGGGAUGAAAGCUGGGGGAGCAAACAGG